CGAUCGAUGUAUUGAGAUCGACGGGUCGAUCGCGAUCCAUGUGUUGAGAUCGACUGGUCGAUCGCGAUCCAUGUAUUGAGAUCGACUCGUCGAUCACGAUCGAUGUAUUGAGAUCGACUCGUCUCAAUCUUAAGGCAGAGGAAAUCAAUCAAUGCAGUCAACAGCAAACACACACACAAGUGUAUACUGAAACAUGGUUGUGAGACUAAAGCAGGACACCUGGUCGGCUUUGAGCUGAAAUUGUAAUUCGCUUGGACUGAUAAUUCUGAAGAUUUUCUAGAUUUCAAAAACAUUACGAGAGAAAUGUUUGAAAUUUGUCUGAUUUUGUCUGAUUUUCUGAUUUGAAUGUGCUUUCAUCAGUUUUGAAAGCAGUGGAAAGCAGUAGAUUGUGUUAGCAUAUGAAAAAUAUCCUGCAGAUGUACAGUUUUUGCAGUUUGUGGAGUAUGAAUGACGAAAGUGUUUGUGGAUUUUGUCUGAAAGCAAUGAAAAAUUAUUUAAAGUUAGGUCUGUAUACACUCGCUGAAUGUGUGAAGAGUUUUGAAAAUGUGGUUUAAGUAUUGAACAAUGCUUGUUAGCAAUUGAAAAAACAUAUGAAAUAAAUAAUCAAUAACAUCUGAAUGCGAACACAACAUUUAAAUAACAGAAAAACCAACAUAAUUGAAAUGUGUACAUUUUUGAGAAUGAUAAAUGACAAAAAGAAUGAUACAAACGCAACUAAGCAAAAAAACAAACAAACAAGGAAGGAAUUGAAGUGGAAAGGAAGAAGUUGCUGUGACACCUUGGUCCUACAUCCACAGUGGUGCCUUUUUUUACUUAAAACUGCUGCUUGCGGCCUCGGCUUCUGCAAAUGCGGCCACUAUGACGUCUUCCAUACCUAAGGACCUCCGAACAUCUCUUUCUAUUGAAAUCAGUGGCAGUCCUCUCCUGGCACAUGGUUCACCUCAAGUAGGGUUUGAUCAACUCGGAAGCAGAAAAGCUCCUCUAGACAUCUUCCAGUUUUAAGAAUCCGUCAUUCAGGCUUCUAAGGGUCUGCUUAGAGUCUGUGUCUACUAAAGGGAGAAGGAACUCCCUUCUGAAGGACUCUCGUGGACUGGACUGGGUUUCUGCUGCUCCCUCGUGCUGUUGCCUUUUCUCUCGGAGCUCCAUUUCAAUUUCCAGUUCUGCUGCAAGUUCUACAGCAUCAGCUUGACAUGAAGCAAGCCCACUGUCCCUGUUUUCCAGCUACUGCCUCGCUCACCGUGUGUCUGUGGUUUCCAGAGAAACAUCUUGACUUUGCAGCAGCUUGCUCACGAGGGGAACCUGGAACAAGCUCAGAGAGAUGUGUCCACUAUGAGGGGCCCCGUUAGGGAGAUUCCCCACGUGUCAUCGCGGUGUCCCGGAGAGCUUAAGUCUGGGCUACAAAGCCACAUAUACCAUUUGAACUUGUAAAGCAAACGGCAAAAUAUGUCCACCCUGUCGUGGACAAAUUCAAAGCAGAGUAAAUACAUUGUAAAUACAUAGUGAUUCUAAAAUGUACAUUUUCAGAAAGCUAUUGGGUCCCUUUGUCAAUAUAUUUUAGUUAAUGGGAAAAGUAUUUGGAAAAUAAUGAAAUUAUGGC
Long non-coding RNA from Gasterosteus aculeatus aculeatus (three-spined stickleback), 1597 nucleotides. The record is from Ensembl. NCBI's taxonomy places the organism in Eukaryota, Metazoa, Chordata, Actinopteri, Perciformes, Gasterosteidae.